UAUUAUUCGGCCAUAAAAAGAUGGAGACUUCUGACCUAUACAGCCCUGUGCUACAGGGGUGAUGGCCAGUCCUAGUGUCUGAGUGACU
Molecule: non-coding RNA, 88 nt
Organism: Otolemur garnettii (small-eared galago)
Lineage: Eukaryota; Metazoa; Chordata; Mammalia; Primates; Galagidae
Source: Rfam